This 583-nucleotide ribosomal RNA is filed under the name uncultured bacterium. RNAcentral describes it as "partial 16S ribosomal RNA". It matches the Rfam family "Bacterial small subunit ribosomal RNA", at positions 355 to 937 of the family's 1533-position model. The record is from RNAcentral.
UGGGGAAUUUUGGACAAUGGGCGAAAGCCUGAUCCAGCAAUGCCGCGUGUGUGAAGAAGGCCUUCGGGUUGUAAAGCACUUUUGUCCGGAAAGAAAUCCUUGGCUCUAAUACAGUCGGGGGAUGACGGUACCGGAAGAAUAAGCACCGGCUAACUACGUGCCAGCAGCCGCGGUAAUACGUAGGGUGCAAGCGUUAAUCGGAAUUACUGGGCGUAAAGCGUGCGCAGGCGGUUUGCUAAGACCGAUGUGAAAUCCCCGGGCUCAACCUGGGAACUGCAUUGGUGACUGGCAGGCUAGAGUAUGGCAGAGGGGGGUAGAAUUCCACGUGUANNAGUGAAAUGCGUAGAGAUGUGGAGGAAUACCGAUGGCGAAGGCAGCCCCCUGGGCCAAUACUGACGCUCAUGCACGAAAGCGUGGGGAGCAAACAGGAUUAGAUACCCUGGUAGUCCACGCCCUAAACGAUGUCAACUAGUUGUUGGGGAUUCAUUUCCUUAGUAACGUAGCUAACGCGUGAAGUUGACCGCCUGGGGAGUACGGUCGCAAGAUUAAAACUCAAAGAAUUGACGGGGUCAUAGCUGUUUCC